Caerostris darwini is the source of this 73-nucleotide non-coding RNA. The record is from the annotation of a GenBank genome assembly. Lineage: Eukaryota; Metazoa; Arthropoda; Arachnida; Araneae; Araneidae.
UCUCAUGUCGUCUAGUGGUUAGGAUUCCUCGCUCUCACCCAGGUGACCCGGGUUUCGAUUCCCGGCUUGGGAG